AGGGGUUUAGGUUAAACAAGACCAAGAGCCUUCAAAGCUCUAAGUAAGUAAAUUCUCUUAACCCCUG
This 67-nucleotide transfer RNA is filed under the name Elephantulus fuscipes (Dusky-footed elephant shrew). RNAcentral describes it as "tRNA-Trp". The record is from RNAcentral. Lineage: Eukaryota; Metazoa; Chordata; Mammalia; Macroscelidea; Macroscelididae.